This 289-nucleotide ribosomal RNA is filed under the name uncultured Glomeromycotina. RNAcentral's name for it is "partial large subunit ribosomal RNA". Lineage: Eukaryota; Fungi; Glomeromycota. The record is from RNAcentral.
UGGGCGUGUGUGAGCUUUAAACCCUCGCUGUUUGCAAUGUUUGUGCUUUUUGGGUGUACUUUUUCGUAUGGUAGGCCAACGUCAGUUUUGGUCGCUAUAAAAUGACCGGAGGAAUGUAGCUUUGAUCUCGUAUUGAAGUGUUAUAGCCUUUGGUAGAUGUGGUGAUCGAUAUUGAGGAUUGCAACGGAUACCUUUUGGGCUAUCCGUCUGACCUCUGAAAGUUACUUAGGUGCCGAAAGCGUGCUUACGGCCAUUUAAGUUGACGGUCAAUAGGUUAGAGCGGGUUAAA